AGGGACCUCUGGGUCCAGCCACUGCUUCAGCAGGACUAGCUAGAGCAGAGUGGCCCAGCCCACAUAAUAAGCAGUGAGCAUCUUCCUGGAUGUCAGCCUUUCAAGGAGCUUCAGGAGGAACAACUCCACAGGCAUAAAUUCGUGAAUGGUACUUGACAAUCUUAACAAGUCCUUCUCUCCCCGAGCUGAGCGUGUGACAGACGUGAUAGGGACGGCGUGCUCUCCUCUGUUCUCCAGCUGUGAAGGAGCUGACAUGAUAAUCAGGGACGGAUCCUGCCUCAGCCAACUCGAGGCAUGCCUCCGCUGACGCAGAUUUCAAGGAACUGAUUAAUCUGACAGAGAGACCAUGUUGGAGCUGAUUAUUUGCCAAAAGAUGUUUUAUAGAUCCACUUCAUUUCCAUUUACUGAGAGCAAUGAUAGGAAAAGAAGUAGCGGAUUCCUUGUGAUGGGUACCUUGGCUAUUUUGUAUGCUUCUAGGUUUGUACGUUUUUACUUUGGGCAUGGUGAAAGAUCAUUGCUAACUGAAUGGGCCUAUUCACUGGUGUAUGGAAAUGGACUUUAAGAAGGGUUGUGCAUGAUUGGCAAAUCAGUUCUAAUUGAAUAAAUGUCAAGGUCAAAACAAACAA
Molecule: non-coding RNA, 626 nt
Organism: Phasianus colchicus (ring-necked pheasant)
Lineage: Eukaryota; Metazoa; Chordata; Aves; Galliformes; Phasianidae
Source: RefSeq, a predicted model, not a curated record